RNAcentral lists this unclassified non-coding RNA (1624 nucleotides) under Onthophagus taurus. Its description in RNAcentral is "malonyl-[acyl-carrier protein] O-methyltransferase- like, transcript variant X2". Lineage: Eukaryota; Metazoa; Arthropoda; Insecta; Coleoptera; Scarabaeidae. The record is from RNAcentral.
AAAACAUGUUUGAUGCUAAAUUAUACGAAAAGUUUCAGUUACCUUUUUAUGUAACUGCGAGAGAGAUAUUAUCCGAUUAUGGACAUCUUAUUAAAUGGCCAAAAAAACAGACAAGCACUCAAGUUAUGAAAAUUUUAGAUGCUGGUUGUGGAGAAGGAACAUCAACAGUGAAAAUUUUCCAAGAAUUUGUUACCAAAAAUGUUGAAAAUUACCAAAUAGUCGGAGUUGAUUUUUCCGAAGAAAUGAUUUCAACAGCAAAAGAAAAAUACCAUUGCGAAAACAAUUGUGAAUUUGAACAAAUGGAUCUUUCACUAGAUACUUUUCCAGAUAAAUAUAUUGAACAUUUUGAUUUAAUUUAUUCAAUGUAUUGUUUGAAUUUCGUUGCAACAACCAAUUGGAUUAAAAACUUUUAUGAAAUGUUGAAACCAAGUGGACAAAUUUUCUUCGCUACAACAGUUACAGACUGGUUUAUGGGGAAAUUUUUAAUGGUAAACCAACGCGAAGAAUUCCAAAAAUAUCAAAACACUACAAACUGGAAAACCCCUUUUUUCACGAAAGCGAAUAUCGAUGAAUGGUUAAAAUCUCUUCUCAAGAACGCAGGGUUUAAAAACAUUACUAUACAACAUAAUGAAACCACAGCAAAAUUUUUAAAUAAAGAUUUUUUUUCUGCUUUUAUUAGAAGCUUUACAACCAGCCAUAGUAAUUUACCAACAAAUUUAGUUGAUGUUUACAUCAAUGAAGUUGUUGAAGAGUUUGUUAAUCAAUCUACAAAACUUUACGGUUCUUCAUCUGAAAUAAUUGCGAGAAUACCAAGAAUUUUAGUUUUCGCUGAAAAAUAAUGAAUAUUAAUAGCAAAUUGUAGAUAAGUAUUCCCAUAAUUAAUCACGUCACAACAUUCUAUUUUUAAACGUACUAUUAUGAGAUAAGGAAAUGUAAAAAGUGAAGUAAGGUCAUAAAACCAGUCAGUCCCAAUAUCUAAAUUUUAGAGUUAAUAUAAUAAAAAUGUACAAAGCCUGUUUGUACGAAAAAUUUCAUAGACCUGUUUAUGAAACUGCAAAAGAGGUUCUAUCAAACUAUGGAUACCUUUUAAAUUGGCCGAACGUAGAGAUGAAUCGUUCCGAAGUUAUGAAAAUUUUAGAUGCUGGAUGUGGAGAUGGAACAUCAACAGUUAAUAUUUUUCAAGAACUUGUAAAGAAAAAAGUAAAAAAUUAUCCAAUAACCGGAGUUGAUUUUUCGACUUAAAUGAUUUUAAACGCAAAAGAAAAAUAUAACAAUCAAAAAAAUUGUGAAUUUGAGUUAAUGGAUCUAUCCUUGGAGACGUUUCCGGGUAAAUUUAUGGAACAAUUCGAUUUAAUUUAUUCCAUGUAUUGUUUGCAUUGGGUUAAAACAACAAAUUGGAUUCAAAAUUUUUAUAAAAUGUUGAAGCCAAAUGGACAAAUUUUUGUAACUGUAAUAACAGAAAAUUUUCUUGUAAACACUUUCCAAAUGGUAAAUAAGCGCGAAAAAUGUUACCAAUUUAUCAAGAAGCUACUUAUUAGGAUAACUAUUUUUUUACAAACAAAAAUCUUGAUGAUUCGUUACAAUCUCUUCAUAAGAAAGAAUGGUAUAAAAAUAUUACCAUUAA